Long non-coding RNA from Drosophila sechellia, 1331 nucleotides. RefSeq lists it as uncharacterized. The transcript is spliced from 5 exons. The record is from RefSeq and is a predicted model, not a curated record. Lineage: Eukaryota; Metazoa; Arthropoda; Insecta; Diptera; Drosophilidae.
UUUGGCCUUCGUCUCACUGAGCAUCUUUUCCCAUCGCUGACCAAUCGUCAACUUUUCGACUUUUACCUCCACUGUAAAGAACUAUUGGUGACAAAACAUUUCGGGAUAUAAUCUCAGAGCUACGGCACAUCCUGCUACCUUGAUCUAUCGAAGACGCCAGUGCAGGGACAACUCGGCUCAAUACUAAUUAAAAUAAAUGAACAUUUACGUCGUCACAGCAUGUGGAUGUGAGGGCGAGAGGCCAGGAGUCCGGGCGAAAGAUUAGGUGACGAGCCCGGGCCAACGGAGACAUCAUUAAAAUGCAUGGUUCAAACGAUUCCUCUUUUCGAUCGCCAUUCCCGAAAAACCCACAUCAGAUGGCAUGAAAAGCGCAGACAACGCAUUUGUUGGUAAUCAGCAGAGCAUGACAUUUGCAGCUAGCGAAAUCCUUAGCAAUGCCAUACAUCAAUUCAUGGCAUACUUGAAAUGCAAAUGUCUUGGCAGUAAACUCUGAUCAAUGCCCGCGCGGAUAUGCGUGCGAACCAAUAAAUCAAGUCAAAGCCAGAGAGGCGAGCCAGCCCCCAGUUGCCAUUCAAGGAUGAAGUCAAGAUAGCAACCACACACACUCACACACGCGAGAAGCACUCACAAGGACUCAAACCCAAACACACACAUACACACACACACACUCCCAUAUGCGACAAGUUGGCGGCCACAAUCUUGGAUUUAUACGGCUUCGAGUGGCUUCGGUGGCUAAGAGGAAAAUAGGUAGGUGGCAGGAGGCGGGGCACUCAAGUUGCCUUUGGUCUAUUUAAAAAUUAAAAUUGUGUAAAUUUUUAAUGCCAACCAACGCGAGUUAUUAGCCCAGCUUGAUAGCUAGCCGAGCACCACCUGAAUAUCCUGCUAAUCGACUGCCAACCGCGAUGAUUACAAAAAUUUCCACUUGGCCGCGUAUUUUCCUGAUUAAUUCUGGGCCGAUAUAAAAUGCGUACCAUGAAUAUUUCAUACCACUAAGCGCCAGCAGAGGAAUAAAAAAAAGUGGUUAAGCAAAGGGCAUAGCAAAUAAAACGAAGCUUACUUUAUACAAUUGGCAACCGCAAACAAAGUGAAUUUCGUUUUUGUUUGCGGCCACAGACGUGUCAGUUUGGACACAUGAAUGAUGAAUUAUAUUCGGUGGUCAAUUUGGGAUCCAUAUUUCACAGCGCGCCAAUAAAAUAUACCCCCAACAAUCCCGAUGGCCUCGACCGGAGGCACACAACAUUUUUGGAACCGCCGAGAAGUUUACAAAGCCGAUCAAAACUUUCUGAAGUGUCCCGAAGCCCUUUUUCAUUAACCGAUCGUUCGAACCUACU